RNAcentral lists this small nuclear RNA (106 nucleotides) under Oidiodendron maius Zn. Lineage: Eukaryota; Fungi; Ascomycota; Leotiomycetes; Myxotrichaceae. The record is from RNAcentral.
GGUUUUGGUCUUAACUAACACUCUGAAUAGAAACGAUACAGAGAAGAUUAGCAUGGCCCCUGCACUAAGGAUGUAAGUCGUGUUACCUGAACAAUUAUAACUUCAU